UCUGAUCCAGCCAAAGGAUCGGAAGAAAAAUAAACAGCGCGGUGCAUUUCCCCGUUUUUAUGGUGUUCUCGGAGCGCAAAUUUUCGGUCUGUCUUUGGUAUUCAAUCAUAGCUCACCCCGUUUGUCUGAUAAGCUGUUCGCUUUCAUCCUACUCGGGUUAGCUGAUGAUUGAAUAGAGGCAGCUGUAACACCCCAAAAUUUGCCCUCCUCAUUCAUGCAUUCAUUUAGCAUUUCAUAUUGCAUUUCAU
Molecule: long non-coding RNA, 248 nt
Filed under: Lathyrus oleraceus (garden pea)
Lineage: Eukaryota; Viridiplantae; Streptophyta; Magnoliopsida; Fabales; Fabaceae
Description: Pisum sativum (pea) long non-coding RNA (PSAT_LNC013622)
Source: RNAcentral